Molecule: small nucleolar RNA, 84 nt
Organism: Syngnathoides biaculeatus (alligator pipefish)
Lineage: Eukaryota; Metazoa; Chordata; Actinopteri; Syngnathiformes; Syngnathidae
Product: small nucleolar RNA SNORD11B
Exons: 1
Source: RefSeq, a predicted model, not a curated record
UUUGAGCGCUGAUGAUCUUGACGUUAAGUCAAGUUCCUGAAUCAUUUCUGAUGUUUUUAAGUCACUACCUCAUCUGAGCUCUGA